This 253-nucleotide ribosomal RNA is filed under the name uncultured bacterium. Its description in RNAcentral is "partial 16S ribosomal RNA". It matches the Rfam family "Bacterial small subunit ribosomal RNA", at positions 524 to 776 of the family's 1533-position model. The record is from RNAcentral.
UACGGAGGGAGCUAGCGUUGUUCGGAUAUACUGGGCGUAAAGCGCACGUAGGCGGCGCCGUAAGUCAGGGGUGAAAUCCCGGAGCUCAACUCCGGAACUGCCCUUGAAACUGCAGUGCUAGAAUUCUGGAGAGGCGAGUGGAAUUCCGAGUGUAGAGGUGAAAUUCGUAGAUAUUCGGAAGAACACCAGUGGCGAAGGCGACUCGCUGGACAGACAUUGACGCUGAGGCACGAAAGCGUGGGGAUCAAACAGG